Molecule: long non-coding RNA, 312 nt
Filed under: Sorghum bicolor (sorghum)
Lineage: Eukaryota; Viridiplantae; Streptophyta; Magnoliopsida; Poales; Poaceae
Description: long non-coding RNA (SBIC_LNC002757)
Source: RNAcentral
CACAUACAUCCACUCACUUCCAUCUCCAAAUUCACCUAAAAUUAUUCUACUCCUAUCCAGAAGAGAAUAGCCAAAAAUAUUUUUCUAUCCCUGUUAUUCCCUAUGAAAUAAAUGCUCGAGUUAUCUUGGUUACUACCACUUGCUAUAUUAUUUCAGGAGAUGAGUGCUCUAAAAAAGGAAAAAAAGAAGAGAAAGGAUACGAGGAAAUAAAAAGGGGCAAGUGCCCGGAACCUCGAAGAAAAGAAAAAGCGAGACGAGAGGUAAAAAUGGACAAGUGUCCGACAGUAGAAUUAGGGGUACAAGAUACCCACC